This 84-nucleotide transfer RNA is filed under the name Flexilinea sp. RNAcentral's name for it is "tRNA-Leu". It matches the Rfam family "tRNA". From Rfam's summary of the family: Transfer RNA (tRNA) molecules are approximately 80 nucleotides in length. The record is from RNAcentral. Lineage: Bacteria; Bacillati; Chloroflexota; Anaerolineae; Anaerolineales; Anaerolineaceae. RNAcentral also lists the same sequence under 1 other name.
GCGCUGGUGCUGGAAUUGGCAGACAGGCAUGGUUGAGGGCCAUGUGACAUCUUCGUCGUGGGGGUUCGAUUCCCCCCCAGCGCA